This 424-nucleotide ribosomal RNA is filed under the name uncultured beta proteobacterium. RNAcentral's name for it is "bacterial SSU rRNA". It matches the Rfam family "Bacterial small subunit ribosomal RNA", at positions 202 to 622 of the family's 1533-position model. The record is from RNAcentral. Lineage: Bacteria; Pseudomonadati; Pseudomonadota; Betaproteobacteria.
AAAGACCUUAUGCUUUUGGAGCGGCCGAUGUCUGAUUAGCUAGUUGGUAAGGUAAAGGCUUACCAAGGCGACGAUCAGUAGUUGGUCUGAGAGGACGACCAGCCACACUGGGACUGAGACACGGCCCAGACUCCUACGGGAGGCAGCAGUGGGGAAUUUUGGACAAUGGGCGCAAGCCUGAUCCAGCAAUGCCGCGUGAGUGAAGAAGGCCUUCGGGUUGUAAAGCUCUUUCAGUCGAGAAGAAAAGAUUGUGACUAAUAACCAUAAUUUAUGACGGUAUCGACAGAAGAAGCNCCGGCUAACUACGUGCCAGCAGCCGCGGUAAUACGUAGGGUGCGAGCGUUAAUCGGAAUUACUGGGCGUAAAGGGUGCGCAGGCGGUUCUGCAAGUCAGAUGUGAAAUCCCCGGGCUUAACCUGGGAACU